CCCACAACCGAUAAGGAUGGAAGACUGAAGUGACACACAGAGGUGUCUGGAAAUCUUUGCUUGACUCUGAACUUGCGUAUUGGCUGCAGACUGUUCUCUUGCUUUUCUCAUGGGCUCGAACCAACCCAUGAGCUCGGAAGCCCACAGCGAUCUUCCCCAGCUCCUGAAGAUGACAACGCGGAGCACAGAGGCUUCAGAACUGCUUUGGGAAGAAAAUGGGAUAGAUCGCUUGGCCAACCUCCCUCACCAGAACACCCCACAGGGUACAGCACUGCAACGAAAAGCAUCGCCCAGCGGUCUGAAGCAUGGAAAAAGCCCUUACCCCUGGCAACCGAAGAAGAAAACUUGGCGAAAAACACGUGCAUGCCCUCUGACUUGGAGGCUACAGAUACGAUGUGCUAACAGCGUAAGGGUGUUCUUGAGAACACAGGGGGCUUUUGCCCUCCUCUUGCGAAUGACCUCCAGCUCUGCCACGCGACACAUUCCUAAGCGCUACAUCCUCCCCGUCUUCACUUUUGCACUGAAUACAAAUGCGCACUUUCUUCAUGCGUGAGAAAGAGGGUUGUGUCAUUGCUGCUACCGCCAGACCAUCCACCAUCCACUCAAACCACAUUUUCUUUAUUAAAGCCAUUUUUCUCUGAAGUUUCCCCAUCGUACGCAGGCUGUGUUGAGACCUCCUCACCUCCCGAGAUAUUUAUAGGCUUUAGUGGAGAACUGUAUGGCCCUUUGAGGGCCAGGAUUUAAGUUUUAGCCUGCAUCGAGCAUAAAUACACUGGGGGUGAACGAAUAUUUCUUACUUAAAAGCCUUAUUUAAUUUGAUCCAAAGCACCUUAUUUUUCAGAGUUAAACAUUACUGUUGGAAGUAAUUUUAAAUCUGCACAACAGUGAAUCCUAAGAAUGGUUCUGAAUUGGCUUUACAAAUGCAUAUGGUUCUUUCUGAGAUUGAAAGAGGAGGAAGAAGAAAGGGAGGAAGAAAGGGAGACCGCAGGAACUGAAAUAAAAACAGACAAUCCCUUCGUCACCUAAAUAAAACCCGCUAAGCGUUGAAAUGGGGUCGAAAGAUAUUUGUUAAGACUGUGAAGUAUAAAGGCAGCAAUUAUUUCUUUGGAAAGUGUCUCUUUAAGGACUUAAGUGAAAGCCUGGAGGAGGCUGCCUCCAGCCAGCAGGAAUUGCCCCUGGCUUUACCAGGAGUGAGAGGAAGAAAGGAAGCAAUUACCCAGUGAACAAUGGUGCAUUAAGGAGCUGCAUUGUGUUUUCAAAACCAGGAUCUCUCCAGCUGGAGAAAUGCUCGUUUGAGGUGACUUCAGAAGUAAUGCCAAAGUGAAGUAUAGCUGAAGAAAGCAUCUCUUAAGAAAAUGAGGAUUCUGAAGCUUAUGACAAUUUUAUUCUGAACAAGCUGACAUCUAACAGACUGACAGCAGCAAAGAUAAAUACAGUAGCAUGGGAGCUGAGAUGAAUGCAGGCACGUUCUGCUGAGAGGCUCUCUGACAUGCUGAGCGACAUCAGCACAACAGCCCCAAGAUCUGCACUGUUUGAUUCAAAGGCACUGACUGAACCCGAGGCAAGUUCCAAGGCACAGGCUUCUUGCUCCUUGAUGACUGUUCCAUUGGAUUCAAGUCCUCCCUGAAGACAUUUCAAAUCUGAUAAUAUGGGAUCAGGAAGUCAUUAAGGAGUUGGUUUGUUCCUCCUUUUGUACUUCUGCACUGUUUAUGUCUGUUGACGCU
This is a long non-coding RNA of Gallus gallus (chicken), 1724 nucleotides long. The record is from Ensembl. NCBI's taxonomy places the organism in Eukaryota, Metazoa, Chordata, Aves, Galliformes, Phasianidae.